RNAcentral lists this long non-coding RNA (588 nucleotides) under Manacus vitellinus (golden-collared manakin). RNAcentral describes it as "lncRNA (ENSMVIG00005003410.1)". Lineage: Eukaryota; Metazoa; Chordata; Aves; Passeriformes; Pipridae. The record is from RNAcentral.
GGCCGCCGCCGCCGCUCGGAGGUGGCUCCCUGCGCCCCCCAAAGAUGCCUUCUCAUCGCUUCGGGCUCCCUUAGGGACGUCGCUGUUUUCCCCUUCUAGACUAAAGGUUACUUUUCCAGGCGUGGAGGGUUUUUCUGUGUGUCCCCGAAGCCCGUUAAAGAUCGAGCAUGAAAUUGUUGAGGAAGAAAAUUAAUACAUCCUUGGACUCCUGAAGGAAGAGCUUUCCGGAUGGGACCACAUUCAAGGAAUUUCAUGUGCUUGGUGGAGAUGGAAAAAGAAGAAAAGCAAGUUGGUUUCCCAGGGAAAGAAGGCAGCACAUACUCAAUGGAACUUUAUUUCUGUGGAACCAUGUUUUGAGUGCUCCUCCUAGACAUCGUCCGUGAAUAUUCUAGAUAUCAGCAGAUUGAUAUGAUUGGAAACCUGGCUCAUCAAACAGUAUACACUGGGAGAAGCCUGCUUAGAAUAAGACAUUUUCUAUUGUUUCUGAAAGUCUGUGAGAAAACACUAUAGACAUCUACCUGUUUUUUUCUUAAUUUUGCAUCUGGAUUCAGCAAAGCCAGUCUUUGAAGUGAAUAGAACCAGAGCCUU